UACCGCAUAUGGUCUUCGGAUUAAAGCUUCGGGCGGUUUGGGGAAGAGCCCCGCGCAAGAUUAGCUAGUUGGUGAGGUAAAGGCUCACCAAGGCGACGAUCUUUAGCUGGUUUGAGAGGAUGAUCAGCCACACUGGAACUGAGACACGGUCCAGACUCCUACGGGGAGGCAGCAGUUAGGAAUUUCCACAAUGGGCGCAAGCCUGAUGGAGCAACGCCGCGUGCAGGAUGUAAGGUUUUCGGAUUAGUAAACUGUCUUUUAUAAGUGAAGAAUAUGACGGUAACUUAUGAAUAAGGAUCGGCUAACUCCGUG
RNAcentral lists this ribosomal RNA (312 nucleotides) under uncultured bacterium. RNAcentral describes it as "bacterial SSU rRNA". It matches the Rfam family "Bacterial small subunit ribosomal RNA", at positions 167 to 507 of the family's 1533-position model. The record is from RNAcentral.